Molecule: ribosomal RNA, 253 nt
Filed under: uncultured bacterium
Lineage: Bacteria
Description: partial 16S ribosomal RNA
Rfam family: Bacterial small subunit ribosomal RNA
Source: RNAcentral
GACGAAGGGGGCUAGCGUUGUUCGGAAUUACUGGGCGUAAAGCGCGUGUAGGCGGCUGCCAAAGUCGGGUGUGAAAGCCUUGAGCUCAACUCAAGAAUGGCACUCGAUACUUGGUGGCUAGAGGACCGGAGAGGAUAGUGGAAUUCCCAGUGUAGUGGUGAAAUACGUAGAGAUUGGGAAGAACACCAGUGGCGAAGGCGGCUAUCUGGACGGUUUCUGACGCUAAGACGCGAAAGCGUGGGGAGCAAACGGG